Benincasa hispida (wax gourd) is the source of this 877-nucleotide non-coding RNA. NCBI's taxonomy places the organism in Eukaryota, Viridiplantae, Streptophyta, Magnoliopsida, Cucurbitales, Cucurbitaceae. The record is from RefSeq and is a predicted model, not a curated record.
CCCAUCUUCCUGUCAACUUGUUAACUGAAAAAUGGUGAACUCUACCUCUCUCUAUUACUUGGAAACUCAGGGUCUUUGUUCUAACAUGGUGUGAUGAUAUUUGUGAAUUUUAGGCAACAGUCACAAAAGAGAAUAAAGUGUUGGUGACUGUGUAUUCAGAGAAGCAAGAACCAAGACUACCAGUUAAUCGCUACCAACGUGAUAGUGUGAAUAAAGCAGUGAGAAAUCAAUGGAAGCAAGAUGCGGCUAAUAAAGGAUACAAUAGGAGAACUGAACUCCUCAAGUAUUCUCAACACCUUCGAAAGUCUACACGGUCACCUGCAUCUCCAUAUAUCCGAACACCGGAGCCGAUCUCCUUGAAGAACAAACAACCGAUCGCAAGAAGCAUAGCGAUUAAUCUUGUAUGCUCUUCCUUUUCUCUUGUCAAUCUUUGUGGAAAGCCCAAGGGUACCAGAUUUACAUCUUGCUUCGGCAACCUGAUUCAAAGGUCUUACAAAGCUUUGACAAGUUUCCAACCAAAGAAAGAUGGAAAAAGGCAGAACCAAAGCAGUGGAUCAAGCAAGAAUGUUAAUGAUAAUGUAAAAAGCAGUGAAUCAAAAAGAAAGAAUACCAUUGAUAAAGUAAAGGGCAGAAGGAUAAGACUACUGAAAUUUACAUGCACUUAAUUUUAUAGAUCUCCAUGAAAUUUGUGGCUGUAGGCCCCAGAUUCCUCACUUGACUUUCUUUCAAGAGCAAUAUAAGUGAGGACUUAACCCCCACCCCCCCAAAAAAAAAAAAUCUUACAAACUAAUCUAUCAAAGUUCUGAAAAACUACUGGCAUUUACUUCUCAAGAAAUACCACCAUAAAAUGUAAAAUAUAUUAGUAGAUCAGUAUCUA